AGAGAGUUCAAGAGUACGUGAAACCGUUCAGGGGUAAACGGGAGAAAUCCUGAAUUCGAAAGGGGCCGGAUUCCAGUCCGUCCAGGUUAUCGGGCCGUCUUGCCCUGCCAGAUGGCGUCGGGCGCCCGGGGCGAUUAACUUCGCUUGCGGUGUCGUCUCUGGCGAUCACUCGGCGGGGUGGCGCGUCUCCGGUUCCGGAGGACCGCACUUCCACCCUUUGUAGAAACGUCGCGACCCGUUGGGUGCCGGUCAAAGGCCCGGGAUGGCAGACCGUGCGUUCCGCGGGGGUUCCCGCGGGCGUGCGGACUCCCGGUGUCCCGGCCGGCUGCCCGACGGUAUGACCAGAGGAGGCGAUCCGCUGGAUGUGAAACGCUUUGGCCGUGUAGCGUCCGGCCCGCCGCCGAAUGGCUGGAGGAUGUGGGUGCCCGUGCUCCGCACGGCCCCUGCCUUCCGCGUCUUCGGUGCGCGGUGUCCUCGGACCGGAUCGAUACUCCCGUCCGCGACGCCCAUCUUCGGAUGG
RNAcentral lists this ribosomal RNA (520 nucleotides) under Tenerella affinis. Its description in RNAcentral is "partial large subunit ribosomal RNA". The record is from RNAcentral. Lineage: Eukaryota; Metazoa; Arthropoda; Insecta; Phasmatodea; Pseudophasmatidae.